CCUACGGGUGGCUGCAGUGGGGAAUAUUGGACAAUGGGCGAAAGCCUGAUCCAGCCAUGCCGCGUGUGUGAAGAAGGCCUUCGGGUUGUAAAGCACUUUCAGUGGGGAAGAAAGCCUUGGGGCUAAUACCCUCGAGGAAGGACAUCACCCACAGAAGAAGCACCGGCUAACUCCGUGCCAGCAGCCGCGGUAAUACGGAGGGUGCGAGCGUUAAUCGGAAUUACUGGGCGUAAAGCGCGCGUAGGCGGUCUGAUAAGCCGGUUGUGAAAGCCCCGGGCUCAACCUGGGAACGGCAUCCGGAACUGUCAGGCUAGAGUGCAGGAGAGGAAGGUAGAAUUCCCGGUGUAGCGGUGAAAUGCGUAGAGAUCGGGAGGAAUACCAGUGGCGAAGGCGGCCUUCUGGACUGACACUGACGCGGAGGUGCGAAAGCGUGGGUAGCAAACAGGAUUAGAUACCCCUGUAGUC
This 465-nucleotide ribosomal RNA is filed under the name Vreelandella stevensii. RNAcentral describes it as "partial 16S ribosomal RNA". It matches the Rfam family "Bacterial small subunit ribosomal RNA", at positions 338 to 795 of the family's 1533-position model. The record is from RNAcentral. Lineage: Bacteria; Pseudomonadati; Pseudomonadota; Gammaproteobacteria; Oceanospirillales; Halomonadaceae.